Molecule: non-coding RNA, 25 nt
Filed under: Arabidopsis thaliana (thale cress)
Lineage: Eukaryota; Viridiplantae; Streptophyta; Magnoliopsida; Brassicales; Brassicaceae
Also listed under: 1 other name
Source: RNAcentral
AGACAGCAGGACGGUGGUCAUGGAA